CGCGUGCACUGGUCCGGCCGGGCCUUUCCUUCUGUGGAACCCCAUGCCCUUCACUGGGUGUGGCGGGGAGACAGGACUUUUACUUUGAAAAAAUUAGAGUGCUCCAGGCAGGCCUAUGCUCGAAUACAUUAGCAUGGAAUAAUAAAAUAGGACGUGUGGUUCUAUUUUGUUGGUUUCUAGGACCGCCGUAAUGAUUAAUAGGGACAGUCGGGGGCAUCAGUAUUCAGUUGUCAGAGGUGAAAUUCUUAGAUCUACUGAAGACUAACUACUGCGAAAGCAUUUGCCAAGGAUGUUUUCAUUAAUCAGGAACGAAAGUUAGGGGAUCGAAGACGAUCAGAUACCGUCGUAGUCUUAACCAUAAACUAUGCCGACUAGGGAUCGGACGAUGUUAUUUUUUGACUCGUCCGGCACCUUACGAGAAAUCAAAGUGCUUGGGCUCCAGGGGGAGUAUGGUCGCAAGGCUGAAACUUAAAGAAAUUGACGGAAGGGCACCACCAGGGGUGGAGCCUGCGGCUUAAUUUGACUCAACACGGGGAAACUCACCAGGUCCAGACACAAUAAGGAUUGACAGAUUGAGAGCUCUUUCUUGAUUUUGUGGGUGGUGGUGCAUGGCCGUUCUUAGUUGGUGGAGUGAUUUGUCUGCUUAAUUGCGAUAACGAACGAGACCUUAACCUGCUAACUAGCCCGUAUUGCUCAGGCAGUACGCCGGCUUCUUAGAGGGACUAUCGG
Molecule: ribosomal RNA, 729 nt
Filed under: uncultured eukaryote
Lineage: Eukaryota
Description: SSU rRNA
Rfam family: Eukaryotic small subunit ribosomal RNA
Source: RNAcentral